Molecule: long non-coding RNA, 3848 nt
Organism: Dromaius novaehollandiae (emu)
Lineage: Eukaryota; Metazoa; Chordata; Aves; Casuariiformes; Dromaiidae
Exons: 3
Source: RefSeq, a predicted model, not a curated record
GGCUCGCCCCGCCGCCACCGCCGCCACCGCCGCGCCCGCAGCCCCGGGGACUUGCCCGGCGCGGCCGGCGGCCGUUGCGGCCGGCGGUUGCGGGCGGGCCGCCGCGCCGGGCUGAGGGAGCGGGCGGCCCCUCGGGCAAGGCUGCGCCGCCGUCCAGCCGCGGCGGGCGGGCAGCGCGGCGGAGGUGGCCUCCCGGGGCGGAAAGGUGUGCCGGGAGGGCUCCUCGCCGUGCUGCGAGGGCUUGCUGCUGCCGCGGCGCCCGCGGAGGGGAUGAAGUACGCGGCGUGAACGGUUGGUCGUCCUGACCGUUAUGCGCUCGGCGUUCCGAGCUGAAAGUAUCCGUCCGGAGAGGAGGAGAAGGGAGGAAGAGUUAAUUAAUGUCUUUCAUUACAAAGAUGUUUCCAAAAGUUUUGUUUCCAGAAGAGUCUUCCAGCUUGAAAUGCAAACAGAUGAUAUGUUUCUGAACAUGCUAGAACUGUGCUAGACUUCAUCCCAGGCUUUUGCCUUUUGGGGGCUUGUUAACCUCUGAGAGGGUAUGUACUGCCACGCCAGCCUGUCUCUACCGUUCCUUCCCUUGGGGUCAAGGACAGUACUCUAGGAGGACAUCUGCUCCACCGCUGCAGAUAGGUGCCCUUUAACAAGCUGAAGAGAAGUAAUGCUCUCCUAUCUGAUCAGACAUGGAAAGGGUUCCUGCGGUAUCAAGAGCAACGUGGGAAAAAGCAGUUAAAGAAAAGUUGUAGAAUGGACCUCCAAACAGGAAAAUUGUCAAUGUUAAGACUGCUAGAGAAAAUUAACAUCUUAGCCCUGUGAUUCAUCUGGUGCUCAGCUUGAAACUGAAGUCUGGGAAAAGAAAAUUGAGGUUGCUAUUACAAGAGAUCUUUGUUUAUUCUCUGUAGGCAUGCAGCUUUCUAUAAAAAUGUCUAAAGAUGACUCUACUGGCAUACACGUUUCUAUAAAAAUGCUCAAAGGUUGCCAAAUAUCUUUUUAUAUGUUGAAUUCAUUGAUGAUUGAAUGGCUGAUAUAAAAUGCACAAAAAUCUAAAUGGAACCUGAGCUGGUUUGUUGCUAAAUGCAAUUAUUUCUGUUUAUACAGUGUUGUUGUGGUGGUGAUUUUUUUUUCUUUUUGCCUUUAGACAGUCUUAUUCUCCUCUUUCAUGCCUAACAAAUUGCCUUGAGCUAGCUAAAGUUUCAGGAUCUUUAAUCCUUGGAAAUUGAUGGUGAUUUGUAUUUUUAAGCUAUCUUUUCACCAAUAAGUGGUUUUUUUUCAGCAUAAUCUUUUUUUUUCCAGGAAAACUAACAGUUUUGUAUUUACUCAUAGUCAAGACAUAACUGUCUGCCAGAUUUUGUAAAGGGUUGCUCAAUACAUUAGAGUUGUAAAAAAGCAAUAUAAGCAAAAAAGGAGGUCAAGCUUCUCUACCAAAUAAACUCCCAUGCAGGAUCAGGGUUAAAGCAGAAGCACUGCAAAAAGAAAGUCUGUUUGUUUGUACGGACUCGAAAAUCUUGUUAAAAAGCAUGUAAACCAUCUACAUAGAUACAAGCAGCUGUCUGCUGCAAUGUGUCCAUGUUCAAAGUAUCUGUACAGCUCCUUUACAUACACACUGUUUAAUAACUAAAAUUCAGACUGAUAGCCCUUCACAGCAUUAGAGCCACAAAACUUAGACACUGCAGAACUCAACCUUUAAUAUUGCAGUUAUUGGAACUGAAUAUACGGAGAAAGCCCGUGUGCUGCGAGAGGGACCAGUGAAAGUCGGGGAACAGCAGGGUUGCAAGCAGACGCCUUGUCCACUCAAUAUCCACAGCAAGGAAAUCUCUCCUGAAGGCACACAGGACAUGUGCGUUAAACUGCAGAGAUGGGGGCUGUCCUAGGUUUCUGCAGAGAAACUGCAGUAUGAAAAAGCAAGCUGCCUACUGGCUUAGGUGCCUCUGAGAUUAGGUGGCUUCUCAGCAGGAGCUGCUGGAUGGCUUUGGACAUUUGGGACUUAAAGCAGCCUUAGGAAAAAAAUGCCGUGUAUACAACCUCUAUUGACCCAGCUUUCUGGUUACCAGAACAAAACCAAGUGGAGACUCACCUCCAAAGCACCUUCAAAACAGAAGAGCAGUCUGAAUUCAGGGUACUGAAAAGUUUCUUGGUAAACAAUACAGAAUACAGCACUGAGAAUCAAGUAAGAUUCCUGACAAGCUCCUGCUCUGGAAAACACAGAAUUAAGAAACCCACCUCAGACAGGCCUUCAAACAACUGAAUACUGAAUGGUCAGCCCUCAAGAUACAGUUUGCAAACUGCAGUUCCUUUGCUGAAAAUGUCUAAAAGUGCCUAGGAAACAAAACCUUAAGAUUACGUACAAAUUUCUUUUUUGCUUAUUAACUGAAACCACAUACAGAUUCAGAUUCUACUAGUUUUACAUGGUCAAAAUUGUGCCUGACUGUCCCUGUCAUACUGUUUUUCUCUUUUUCCAUAAUGAAGCGCAACCUCUACAGCUAAGCUAUCGCUAGAAGCAGCAGCGAGUUGCCCUCUCUUUGCCUCCUCUGUCACGGUCUUGCUGACCUGGCUGAUAGCAAUCAGGAUCUUCGGGAGUCAGAGAGUUCAAGCAUUGCCUUGCAGAAAUGUUAAUAUAGUAGCUUCCCAGCCUGUCCGGAUUUCUACGGCAGCGAAGGAAAUGCUCAUUUUGAUGCCCAGUGGGCUACUGCAUGUUUAUAACCAGGUGGAAGGAAUGUGCCAAGAAAUCACAGUGCAAGGUCUUGCCUUUCCCCAUCGUGUCGCGUUGUUCAGGCCUUCAGCGUGCCCAAGGCACAACAGAUUCUACCUGGGACACAGCCUCAGCGAGAAAUGCCUCAUUUAAUCUGAAGGAUUAAAAUCACAGGGGCAUAAAUCCACUGACUCAUUUGAUGUUGUCAUUGACAGAAAAGGAAAAAUGAAAAUGGAGCUUGAUUUCCUGAUGCUGCCUAAAAAUCUACCCUGUAAAAUGGUAUAAUCUGAAUCUUUCUAAACCUGAAAGAGAAUAAAUAUAUAUUUUGUACUUUUACGGAUACUACAUUAGUGUUUUUGCUUUAAGCACAAAAUCAGUAGUUUUAUCUCUCAGUUCUCUUAUUUCAGAGAAGUUAAAGAUGCUCACUGAUGUUCUUUCAUAUGCCUUGAGUCAGUUUUUAAAUUACUUCUAUCGAGAGUUUUGUAAAAACAUACACUUCAGAUCCCCAGCAGGUCUGAUUACUUCUGUCUGUAACCUAGUGUUUAUAUCACUGUGUUAACGCCUAUGUUAUGCUUCCUUAUGACUUUUACAAAUUUGAAUUCAUCUAGGUGCUGUUUAAUAAUGUUUUUUUGUGUUCUCUCUUGGUUAGCAUACACUAAGCCAAACUAAAGGAAAAUAUUUUACAGAGUUUUAGUGAGAAGAGUAACCACUAAAAAUGCAGUGAAAUGAAUGCUCAGAGUUAAUACAGUUUCUUCUUAGAAAACAGUUGACAUAGUCAAUGUUACAAAAAAUAAGUGCUAGUGAAAAUUAUUUUUAGGCAUUUAAAGUAGUAAGAAGGAAUAUGGGCAACCUAUACACAACAGAUAAUUUUUCGGAAGGAUUUAACUGCAGCUAUCAAUGACACUGUCAACUGAUUCUAAGAAAUGGUCCAAAAUAUUUGCGUAAAAGCUAAUCAUUGUACAAAAUUGCCAUAUUUAUCAUGGAACUAUGCGAAGAAUUGACGGUUUACUGCAUUUGACAGUAUGCUGGUAGAGUGUUACUGCUUCAUAAUUCUAAUUGAAAGACAGAGCCACUUAACAUUUAUGGAAUAAAUGGAAUAAUGCUUCUAAUUAUGACAAACCAUAUUUUAGUAGCUAUCUUUAGGAAACAUUCUGUAAAGAAUCAU